GCGAGGGUAGCUCAGUGGUAGAGCGUCAGGCUAUCAGGCCUGAAUGUCGUUGGUUCGAAUCCAUCUCCUCGCUCCA
This 76-nucleotide transfer RNA is filed under the name Patescibacteria group bacterium. RNAcentral's name for it is "tRNA-Asp". It matches the Rfam family "tRNA". Rfam says of the family: Transfer RNA (tRNA) molecules are approximately 80 nucleotides in length. Their secondary structure includes four short double-helical elements and three loops (D, anti-codon, and T loops). The record is from RNAcentral.